GCUAUAUCCAGUGACUGAUCCACAUGGUGGUGUAAAAUCCUGCUCUCCUUGUCCGUAUCAACUCUAAGGGGUCAUCUAAACUUCAGAGCACCUUUCAGGUGAAUGAUGUGGAUAACAGGAUCUAAAAAGAUAUUCGCAAGAUUCACAAAUUGCAUGUGGACACCUUACGGAAUUGUGCUUUCUGCAGUAAAGACAGAAGAUAAUAAUGAAGACUGAUUAAAAGAAGCAGCUUCUGGUCUAGCGUAUUUUCUUCUGUGCAUCAGUUUUCCUGUAUUUGUUCAUUAUACAAAGAGAUUUAGUAUUUAUUUGCCAGCAAUAAAUGAGCUUCCUUAGUUUUGUGUCCAAU
Molecule: long non-coding RNA, 346 nt
Filed under: Homo sapiens (human)
Lineage: Eukaryota; Metazoa; Chordata; Mammalia; Primates; Hominidae
Description: HSALNT0135817
Source: RNAcentral